Strigops habroptila (Kakapo) is the source of this 6561-nucleotide RNA transcript. It is a transcript of the gene named 6-phosphofructo-2-kinase/fructose-2,6-biphosphatase 2, with no coding region annotated. Lineage: Eukaryota; Metazoa; Chordata; Aves; Psittaciformes; Psittacidae. The record is from RefSeq and is a predicted model, not a curated record. The transcript is spliced from 15 exons.
AUUUGCAUUUGUGGCGCGCCGGCGCGGAGCCAUGUCGGCGGCGCGGCACGGCGGCGGCCCGCGGGGCAGGCCCGGGGCUCUGCGCGGCGGUGAGAAGCAGUGCUCAUGGGCUUCCUACAUGACCAACUCCCCAACGCUGAUCGUGAUGAUCGGCCUGCCUGCACGUGGCAAGACCUACGUGUCCAAGAAGCUCACCCGCUACCUCAACUGGAUCGGGGUGCCCACCAAAGUGUUUAAUUUAGGAGUGUAUCGCCGGGAAGCGGUGAAGUCUUACAAGUCCUAUGACUUCUUCAGGCACGAUAAUAAAGAAGCCAUGGAAAUCCGCAAACGAUGUGCCUUGGUGGCUCUACAGGACGUGAAGGCAUAUCUCUUGGAGGAGUGUGGGCAGAUAGCUGUGUUUGAUGCGACCAACACAACUCGAGAAAGACGGGACCUGAUAUUAAGUUUUGCUAAAGAAAAUGCUUUCAAGGUGUUUUUUGUGGAGUCUGUCUGUGACGAUCCAGAAGUCAUUGCUGCCAAUAUCCUGGAGGUGAAAGUUUCCAGCCCUGACUACCCAGAGAGAAACAGGGAGAACGUGAUGGAUGAUUUCCUGAAGAGGAUAGAGUGCUACAAGGUCACUUACCAGCCUCUUGAUCCCGAUGCCUAUGACAAAGAUCUUUCCUUCAUUAAAGUGAUCAAUGUGGGACAGCGGUUCCUAGUAAACAGAGUCCAAGAUUACAUCCAGAGUAAAAUCGUCUAUUACCUAAUGAACAUUCAUGUCCAGCCACGUACCAUCUACCUUUGCCGACAUGGUGAGAGUGAAUAUAAUCUUGUUGGCAAGAUUGGUGGGGAUUCUGGUCUGUCACCACGUGGGAAGCAGUUUGCUCAGGCACUGAAGAAGUUCAUUGAAGAGCAGGAAAUUGUUGACCUGAAGGUAUGGACGAGCCAGCUGAAAAGGACCAUCCAGACCGCUGAGUCCCUGGGGGUCAUGUACGAGCAGUGGAAGAUUCUCAACGAGAUUGAUGCUGGGGUGUGUGAAGAAAUGACCUAUGGAGAAAUUGAAGCCAAGUAUCCAGAGGAGUUUGCAUUGAGGGAUCAAGAGAAAUACCUUUAUCGCUAUCCUGGAGGCGAGUCCUACCAGGACUUGGUCCAGCGCCUGGAGCCGGUAAUUAUGGAGCUGGAAAGACAAGGCAACGUCCUCGUCAUCUCCCACCAGGCGGUUAUGAGGUGCCUGUUGGCUUAUUUUCUUGACAAGAGUGCAGAUGAGCUGCCCUACCUGCGCUGCCCUCUUCAUACCAUUCUGAAGCUCACACCCGUGGCAUACGGUUGUAAAGUGGAGACAAUCACCCUGAACGUGGAAGCAGUGAACACCCACCGUGACAAACCUUCUCUGAACUCAAACCACCUUCCCGCCAGCCAAAGCCCUGUAAGGAUGAGAAGGAACAGCUUUACGCCGCGGGCCAGCGCGGACACGGUAAAGCGCCCGCGACAUUACAGCGUUGGGAGCAAACCUCUCGACCUCGUGGGGCCUUUCCCAUCCUUGGAAGCUCGAGAUGGGGCCGACCAGCAGCAGCUGCAAGUCGGGGUCCAGGUCGUACCUUCUCUGUGUUUCCCUUCCCCACCAUCACCCACAGCCCUCAGUGGUCCUCUUUGAAACGCAGCCCCUUCCCAGGGUCGUUGUUCAUGUGUAAGAAUCAUUCUGGAUUAGACACUCUAUAAACCCACCCAAAAACCCCAAAGUCACCCCAUUAAACUAGAAUUGUGGUGCCAAAGGCUUUCAAAACCAGGUUGUAUGGGCCUUGGAGCAACUUGGUUUAGUGGAAGGUGUCCUUGCUCGUGGCAGGGGGUUGGAACUGGAGCUUUAUGGUCUCUUCUGACACAAACCAUUCUAUGAACACCAGGCUCUGUGCAGGUGAGUUUACAUCAGUGCAGUAGGGUUUUGGCCGGGUAGUUAAUUCUGGGUGAUGCUUUCUGGCAAAAACCUAAUUUGAAAGAGUUACAAAUAUCCUCUUUGUCCAAAUGAGAUGCUGCAGCCAAGUGUUGCUCCAGUCCCUGGUAGGAAAUAUUUGCAUCAUGACUUUGUCAGUGCCUGUUUUUCUGCAGAUCCCAAUGUCAGCAGGCUUGUUGAACAAAGUUUGGGCUCUUUGCGUGCCCAGAAUAAAGCAGCUUUGGGUGCUUGGUCUUUCUUCUGGCUCAAGAAGGCACCAAGGUCCUCAUCACUGUCAGAUGCAAAGCCCCGUUUGUUUCUUUGCUCAUUUAAACUUGUUUCUCUGUUAAAUGAGGUGUUUGUGUGUGCCUGGGAGAGUGCAGGCAAAGAGGUUUGGAUGGGGCUUUGAGGAGGUCUUGGCUGGGUCCUAUAGAAUCAUAGAAGUUAGGGUUGGAAAGGACCUAUGUUGUAAUGUGCACAUUAUGUGCGUGUUGUAAUGUGCAGAGACAGCCAUUACCAAAGCUGCUUAAAAAUAAUCUUGGAUACUUUAGAGGUUAAUGUUUUCCCAGCUUCUCCCCUUUCCCUCAGAGUAAGUGGCCAGAGAGUAAAAGAAGGGGUGACGCAGCACGAGUGAACAUUGCUGGUGUUUUCAUACUCUGUGAAGACCAUGAGGCUGAGGCAUCCCCAAAAUCCCAGGAUUCUGGUAGAGCUGAACCAGCCAGGGCUUUGCAUUGGGAUAGAUUUGGGCCACAGCAAUUCUGGGUGAUGCCUCAGCUGGAGAGGACCCUGAUGGCCCAAGGUGUUACUUUGUGGGUGCCCCAGGACAGGGAUCCCCACCCCUGUUUGCAGUUGUACCCUUCGUCAUUGUAGUGAUGAAGGAGCAUUUAGUAAACCCUGGGUUCUGGUCUGGGUGCAUGAUAGGGAAUUGUGCUGUCCCAGGACCUCUGAAUGGAGCCCUUGGGAUGAGCAGCAGUGGAGGGAGGAGGUGGCCAGGCACUGCAGCACUGUCCCUGCCUUGUAUCAGCUCCUGCUGUGAUACAAACCUACCCCUGGCUCCUUAACGUGAUACCUUUGGGGUUGCUUCACUUCUUUCCUCAUUUUCCUGCUGCUUUUCCUAUUAUUACAAAAUCUCCUUUAAAAGGCGCUAUGAGCUAUCCUGUGCUGUUUCUUUUUUCCUUUGCAGCCUCAAGGGGGAAUUGCUUGCCUAGGAUGGCCAGUUUAACGGUGUAGAGGUUUGUGCUUCCAUCUGGGAUUUCUAUGGCUGGGAAGAGCCCUGCAGCUGGACUUGAGCAUCCCUGGAGCACAGUGAGCUGCCGCCGCUUCGGCCCAUCCUCUCCUCUGAAAUGUGUUUUUAGAGCCUGUCUGCGUCUUUUCUUUCUGAAUGCUACAAUGGCUGUCCAUGAGAUUGAAGAAGAAUGUGAGCUUACAUAUCCCUGGGCUUUCUGGGGUCCUAUGACUUUCUUCCUGGGUAGAUAUUCAAAUUAACUGCAGUGUAGGUGAGGGCAAAAUGGUCAUGUACUCACUGAAGCAGCUUUUCUUUGGACGAUGUGUUAUCAGACCAAAUCCCCAAGUUUUUAUUUAGCUGUUACCAUUUCUAAGCUCAAAUGCAGUUAUUGUGGUGUUUAACCAUCCCAAGAGCUCCAAGCAUUGUUCAGCUUUUUUUUCAGGACUGCUGAUUUAAAUCUCCAGAUCUGAGCUUGUUCCUUUGCUCUGGGAAGGCUUUUGCAUAUCCUAUGAAACACAUGGCACUUGCCAGGUCAGCACAUCCUGCAGGAUGUCUCCUGUGAGGGAUAGGAGGGAAUAAAACCUCCUAUCGUUCUUUGGGAAGAGCAUAGUGCUGUCCAAUCUGAGCUCAAGUCCUGCUUUAGCUUUGCACCCAGAUCUAAGCUUCCUCCUCUCAUUUUUCCUGUGUUCUAUGGACACAUUUAUCUAUUAGAAAAUGGGAGCAUCACUUUGCUCUCAGGGCCAUGUGUGCAGGGCUUGCUAGAAGCACAAGAUCUUUUACCAGUUCUCUUUUUAAUGUACCAAAAUUUCAGCCCGCCAACAAGGCUUUUAAACUUGCCUAUGAAAAAUCUGUGAAUGAUAUUGAUGCGUAAUGCUGCUUUUCAUAGAGUUUAAGCUGCUUUAGUGUUCAGUGUUACUUAAAUCCCCACCAAAACCCCAAAUUUAGUUUUCUCCCACAAAUUUUGACUUGGAAUCAUAGAAUCCCAGAGUGGUUUGGGUUGGAAGGGAGCUUAAAGCUCACCCAGCUCCAAUGCCCUGCCACGGGCAGGGGCACCUUCCACUAGAGCAGGUUGCUCCAAGCCCCUGUGUCCAACCUGGCCUUGAACACUGCCAGGGAUGGGGCAGCCACAGCUUCUCUGGGCACCCUGUGCCAGCGCCUCAGCACCCUCACAGGGAAGAAAUUCUUCCUUAUAUCCAACCUAAAUCUCCCCUCUGACAGUUUAAACCCAUUCUUUCUUGUCCUAUCACUUGUGUUAUGUCAAACUCCAUUUUAUCCCACUCCUACUCUUCUUGAAGAAAGGAGCAUUUAGGUACGAAGCAGGAUGCUGUUCUGGACUUGCUGUUUCCAGUUGGCUCGAGGAUUUAUAUGAGCAACUUCUGGGAGCCAGGUUGCUUAUUUUAAAUGCGAAAAUAGAUGUUGGCCAUACCCAGAGCAGGGAUCAUAGACUCAUAGAAUAGUUAAGGUUGGAAAGGACCUUAAGAUCAUCUAGUUCCAAACCCCUGCCAUGGGCAGGGACACUAAGAGAAGCACUGCAGAAGAGCUCAGCAGCCCUGAAGCCUGAGGUUUCCCUGGGGAUUUUGAGCUCAAACCUGAGUUGUUUUAAACACUCCAGAGUUUUAAUUUGAUAAAUGAAAUAGAAAUGGGCAUGGCAAAGGCCCAGGCGUUAAUCCUGACCCCUUAGGAUUUCUGAGGAGCAGAAGUGUGUGUUAAUCUAAAGCAAUUGUGCCACAGAGGAAAGAAAUUCAGUGGGUGAGAAACUGAGUUGUAAUAGUUUUGUUCCUUGAGCUGUUCCCACGGGGGCACAGGUUUGCUGUGCAAGAGCAGAGUCUGUUCUUUGGUUUUAAAUGUCACAGUGCUUAGAAAUGAGCCAAAAAACCUUGAGGGAAGAGAUUUCUAGGCUGUUCCAUGGUGAUACUCGCUGUCACACUCCAGUGAUGCUCUAAACGCACAAACCACAUUGGGCUGGCUACUCCUGUCCAGCCAUCUCCUGCUCCUGUGAGUAAAAAGGAGUAGCAAUGUACUGUAGGAUGUUUACGCACAAUAUGCAGUAAUAACUUGUGAAGGAGUUAAUUUUCUUUGUGUUAUUGAGUAGUUAAUGGCUGUAAGGAGACGAAGUAUGUAUUUUUACGUGCCAGGAUUCAUGAAGGCAGCUGCUAUGAUGUUGGUGGUUGUAAUUAGUAUUUUUAUUAAUCACUGCUAAAAAUCAGGUCUGUGAGUCUUUAUCACUGACUGCGGGUACCUUAUUCCUGUUGUGGGUCCUUGCUUUGGCUGUAGGCUGCUGGAUCGUGGGAUGGAACCUCUCAGCCACCUCUGCAGACAGACAGCAGUGUUUGUGCCUUGUUGCUUUAAUCAAAGCCUAACAGUAGCCUUUUCCUCCUGCUUUUUAACUUUCAAAAGGCCUAAAUACAUGUGUCCAGAGCAGAGCAGCAGAUUUAUGAUCAUCAUUGUUGCCAUGUGGGUGAGUCAUACCUGACAUGGUCCCGGGUCAUGCUGAGCCUUUGUGGGCAGUGAGGCUGGGGCGAUGCCAGUGACCCCACACAUCUCCCCAGCCCCAUGCAGGUCCCUCUGCCAGGCUUUUCCUUGAAAUCACCUGAUUUCCUUGGCACCGUGCGUGCAAACACCUCAGGAUAAACAGUGAUUGCACAAUGUGCCGAACUGAGGCUCAGCAGCUGGUUGUACUGGCACUGGUGUGUUGGUCUGGGCAGGUAGAGGUGAGGAACUGGGAGGUGUGGAAGGGGGCUUGGCUCCUUCAUGAGCAUUGCUUCAUGACUUGGGAGUUUUCUGUGUUUCCCUCACUUUGUGUGCCUCUGUUUCUUGCAGCAGGGGUGGUGGUGGCAGCUCCCCUGAGCUGUAGUCCAGGGGCUGUGGCUGCCCCAUCAGCAUUAUGGAUUGUUUAGAGAGAAGUGAUCUCAGGCAAAAUCUGUUCCAUCUCUGCCACCAGUGAUGGGGAAAAUCAGAAGGUGAGGAUAAAGGCUUCAAACCAGCCCAGGUAGCUUGAGUUUGCAUACACUGGCUGUGCCAUUAGAGCUGCUACCCCUGUAAGUCAUCCCCUUGCUGGCAGCUUGGCAGCGGAUGAUGGAGAAGCCUUGGGAGCAGCGACAUUGCUGCCAGUGCUUCCAGGAACCACAAACUCCAUGAGUACAUCCCAAACCUUCACCCUGUCCUCCUUCAAAGGGUGCUGCUGGUGCCACCUCUGCCUCUCCUCCUGCUCCUCUGUCUCUGAACACUGUUUGCAAAUGCAUCUCUGUGUUUAGUAAGAUCGAUGUUAUGUGUCUACUUGCAAUUUGGCUGCAUUACUGCUUUCUAAUGUGGUUUUGAAGUUUAAAAGAAAUGCAGUGUAUGUAAACUUGUGCUGUAUGUUGUGAACUCUGUGCACUUGAGCAUAAAUAUCCCAUCAGCAUUUAUUUACAAUAAAGAGAUUUUAAAAUAA